RNAcentral lists this ribosomal RNA (379 nucleotides) under Mycobacterium tuberculosis. RNAcentral's name for it is "bacterial SSU rRNA". It matches the Rfam family "Bacterial small subunit ribosomal RNA", at positions 346 to 717 of the family's 1533-position model. The record is from RNAcentral. Lineage: Bacteria; Bacillati; Actinomycetota; Actinomycetes; Mycobacteriales; Mycobacteriaceae.
AGGCAGCAGUGGGGAAUAUUGCACAAUGGGCGCAAGCCUGAUGCAGCCAUGCCGCGUGUGUGAAGAAGGCCUUCGGGUUGUAAAGCACUUUCAGCGGGGAGGAAGGCGAUAAGGUUAAUAACCUUGUCGAUUGACGUUACCCGCAGAAGAAGCACCGGCUAACUCCGUGCCAGCAGCCGCGGUAAUACGGAGGGUGCAAGCGUUAAUCGGAAUUACUGGGCGUAAAGCGCACGCAGGCGGUCUGUCAAGUCGGAUGUGAAAUCCCCGGGCUCAACCUGGGAACUGCAUUCGAAACUGGCAGGCCAGAGUCUUGGAGAGGGGGGUAGAAUUCCAGGUGUAGCGGUGAAAUGCGUAGAGAUCUGGAGGAAUACCGGUGGGG